AGACACAUAAGCCAAGCAAGAAACCCAAGUCACCAGUUACACCCAUUGUGAAACCACCACACAUAGUUCCUCCAAUUACUGUCCCUCCCAUUGUGAAACCUCCAAAAGUUCUUCCCCCUAUCAUUGUGAAACCUCCAAAAGUUCUUCCUCCUAUCAUUGGUAAACCACCAGUUACAGUUCCACCAGUUACAGUCCCUCCUAUUUUGAAGCCACCAGUUACUUUACCCGUUCCAAUUCCUCCAGUUACAGUCCCUCCCGUUGUGAAACCACCAGUAACAUUACCUGUUCCAAUUCCACCAGUUACAGUCCCUCCUGUUUUGAAGCCUCCAGUAACUUUACCUGUCCCAAUCCCACCGGUUACAGUUCCACCAGUUACAGUUCCUCCAGUUACAGUUCCUCCAGUUACAGUUCCACCAGUUACAGUUCCUCCGGUUCUUACCCCACCAACGACACCGGGGCAGGGAGGGAAUACACCAUGCCCACCACCGAAGUCUCCAGCACAGGCAACAUGCCCAAUUGACAUACUGAAACUGGGUGCAUGUGUUGAUCUGUUAGGUGGGUUGGUGAACAUUGUAGUGGGGGACCCAGCUGUGAAUGAGUGUUGCCCUGUGCUUCAAGGACUUGCUGAGGUUGAAGCUGCAGCGUGUCUUUGCACCACUAUUAAGCUCAAGCUUCUGAAUCUCAACAUUUAUGUUCCAAUUGCUCUUCAGCUUCUUGUUGCAUGUGGAAAGUCUCCUCCUCCUGGUUACACCUGCUCCAUCUAAACCACUUAAGUGCUUCUUCAACUGUGUAAGUCUCUCUAAACCCCCACAAAACCCUAAUUUAUGUUUUCUUUUACAUUGUCAAACAUCAACUCUUUCUAAAAUAGAAGGAGUAAACGGUCACUUUCCUUGUGUUUAUUGUUUUCAUUAAUAGAUAAUAAUAUGAGAUUCUUUGUUAAUCAUUUUCUAUAAUGAACAGUGAAACUUGUUAGGGUAUAUGUUUGUUAGGUAAAGUAAGCAGUAAUUAUCUAAUCCGUUGAAUAUUUAGUUAUUAAAAUAACUAAGUUAAAAAGACAACAAAAUCCUUAAUAUAAUUAGCUUUAGAUUCAAAUUGGUUGUGUCUACCUUUUCUAUUAUACUGCUCAAUCAUUAAAUUCUACUGAUCAUUAACCAAGUUUCUUUCUUUUUUGGAAGUAGCUAAUAACAUGCAUGGUUAUCCACUUUGUCUUCUAUGUUUUUUCCCUCUAUUUUAGAAAGAUAAUAGUGAUGGCAUGCAUAUUAAUUAAGCUUGUCGUUCUUUAUAAACAAAUAAAAAAUGAAGUUGGAAACUGAAUGUUUUAUUUAAAUCAUUAUCAUCAUAGGAUAUAUAGUCAUAUAAGUGCUGAGAAGAGGGAGUAAAAGGUUAGAGAUUUUCUCCAAAAACAAUACCUUUCCUAGCUAGCUAUUUAAAUAUAGAUUAUUAAAGUAAUCAACAUUCUAGUAUGAAAGUUACUGAUUCAAUUCUUUUGUCUUCCCUUUUCUUUUAACUGUUAUUAUAUAUGAUUGUGAACGUUUUGUGUUCAUACUAAGUAGAUUACAUGGAAUUAAGGAUGCAAGAUUUGAUUUGUAUUUCCAAUUAUUAAUGUUGUCCUAUUGUAUACCCGUGAACUUGAAUUCUUUGUCUUAUAUGAUGUCACU
This 1658-nucleotide long non-coding RNA is filed under the name Lupinus angustifolius (narrow-leaved blue lupine). RNAcentral describes it as "long non-coding RNA (LANG_LNC002032)". Lineage: Eukaryota; Viridiplantae; Streptophyta; Magnoliopsida; Fabales; Fabaceae. The record is from RNAcentral.